GGCUCUGAUGCUAUUGCACCACAUGUGUUUUUCUUUGAAACAAACUUGCUUUGGCGGUGGGCCCAGCCUGCCGCCAGAGGUCUAAACUUACAACCAAUUUUUUAUCAACUUGUCACACCAGAUUAUUACUAAUAGUCAAAACUUUCAACAACGGAUCUCUUGGUUCUCGCAUCGAUGAAGAACGCAGCGAAAUGCGAUACGUAAUAUGAAUUGCAGAUAUUCGUGAAUCAUCGAAUCUUUGAACGCACAUUGCGCCCUCUGGUAUUCCGGAGGGCAUGCCUGUUUGAGCGUCGUUUCUCCCUCAAACCGCUGGGUUUGGUGUUGAGCAAUACGACUUGGGUUUGCUUGAAAGACGGUAGUGGUAAGGCGGGAUCGCUUUGACAAUGGCUUAGGUCUAACCAAAAACAUUGCUUGCGGCGGUAACGUCUACCACGUAUAUCUUCAAACUUUGACCUCAAAUCAGGUAGGACUACCCGCUGAACUUAAGCAUAUCAAUAAGCGGAGGAA
RNAcentral lists this ribosomal RNA (507 nucleotides) under Candida albicans. RNAcentral's name for it is "eukaryotic LSU rRNA". The stretch from base 140 to 293 matches the Rfam family "5.8S ribosomal RNA". Lineage: Eukaryota; Fungi; Ascomycota; Pichiomycetes; Serinales; Debaryomycetaceae. The record is from RNAcentral.